UACAGAGGGUGCGAGCGUUAAUCGGAAUUACUGGGCGUAAAGCGCGCGUAGCCGGUUUUGUAAGUCAGAUGUGAAAUCCCUGGGCUCAACCUGGGAACUGCAUUUGAGACUGCAUGGCUAGAGUAUCGAAGAGGGAAGUGGAAUUUCCGGUGUAGCGGUGAAAUGCGUAGAUAUCGGAAGGAACACCAGUGGCGAAAGCGACGUGCUGGACACCUACUGACGCUGAGGCGCGAAAGCCAGGGGAGCAAACGGG
Molecule: ribosomal RNA, 253 nt
Filed under: uncultured bacterium
Lineage: Bacteria
Description: partial 16S ribosomal RNA
Rfam family: Bacterial small subunit ribosomal RNA
Source: RNAcentral